GACGAACGCUGGCGGCGUGCUUAACACAUGCAAGUCGAACGGAAAGGCCCGACUUUUCUUGUCUGCUCGAGUGGCGAACGGGUGAGUAACGCGUGAGUAACCUGCCCUUUACUGUGGGAUAACUUCAGGAAACUGUAGCUAAUACCGCAUAAGAGCUCCUGCUGCAUGGUGGUGGUUUGAAAGUUUCGACGGUUGGGGAUGGACUCGCGGCUUAUCAGCUUGUUGGUGGGGUAGUGGCUUAGCCCGGCUUUGACGGGUAGCCGGACUGAGACGGUGACAGGCCCCAUUGGGCUUCAGAUGCGGGCCAGACGGCUACGGGAGGAAGGAGUGGAAAACAUUGCAAGCUACGCGGAAGCAGUAAGGAGGAACGUCGCGUGCGAGAUGACGUUCUUAGGGUAGUAACCCGCUUUAGAGUGGGAAGAAGAGUGAGUGACGGUAAUGGAUAAGGAAGCAACGGCUAACUACGUG
Molecule: ribosomal RNA, 468 nt
Filed under: uncultured bacterium
Lineage: Bacteria
Description: partial 16S ribosomal RNA
Rfam family: Bacterial small subunit ribosomal RNA
Source: RNAcentral